AAAAGAGCCAGCGGGAGCUUGUGUGACAGGCUGAGAGGAAGAUAGAUCUUCGACCGUACCUGAUUUGGGUAAUGCCAACGGAGGGAUUGUGAUCUGAGAGCGU
RNAcentral lists this non-coding RNA (103 nucleotides) under Ruminococcus sp. RNAcentral describes it as "TPP sequence". It matches the Rfam family "TPP riboswitch aptamer (THI element)". Rfam says of the family: Vitamin B(1) in its active form thiamin pyrophosphate (TPP) is an essential coenzyme that is synthesised by coupling of pyrimidine and thiazole moieties in bacteria. The previously detected thiamin-regulatory element, thi box was extended, resulting in a new, highly conserved RNA secondary structure, the THI element, which is widely distributed in eubacteria and also occurs in some archaea. RNAcentral also lists the same sequence under 1 other name. Lineage: Bacteria; Bacillati; Bacillota; Clostridia; Eubacteriales; Oscillospiraceae. The record is from RNAcentral.